Heterocephalus glaber (naked mole-rat) is the source of this 659-nucleotide non-coding RNA. NCBI's taxonomy places the organism in Eukaryota, Metazoa, Chordata, Mammalia, Rodentia, Bathyergidae. The record is from RefSeq and is a predicted model, not a curated record.
CAACAGCUCCGCUCCCCUCCGUCCCGCCGGCGCGCCUGCCCGGACCCAGCGCGACCCUCCUGUGCCCCCAGCGAGGGGGACGUGUUCAAAGAAACAGAAAACAAAACAAAAACAAACCAAGGGCCAAAACCACUCUCACCUCGUUUGCUGCUCAAAGUGAUCAGAGAACAAAGGAAUCCUUGAAGAAAGUGAGACUCAAAGCAUCGCAGGAUAUAUGAUUUCUGAUUCUUUGUUCAGAAAACAAGGGCAUCCAUGCCAGCCAGUGCUUCGAUGGUGAGAAAAUUACUCUGCUUCAUGAAGAAUAAUUUCCUUCCUCAUUUAGGACAUGGUCUGAAAGAAUAGAAGAUGGUGGUCAUUCUUCAACAGUUUGACAGCCUACACUGCUUCAGAUGGUACAUUCUCUGUUACUACAUGGAAAUAUCAGGUCUUCUUCAAAAUAAAACUCACAACACUGGGCAUGGUGGUGCACAUCUGUAUUCCCAGUGUUGAAGCAAAAGAAUUGAGCGAGGGAAGCCAGCCCAUGAUACUUAGGGAAUUUAAGGUCAGCCUAGACCACAAAUAAACAAACAACAACAAUAACAACGACAACAUAAGAUGCCCAAACAAACAAAUAAAAAAACUCAACAGAUUUCACCGUGUCUCCCAACUCAAUCAUUGCU